AGCGUAGGCGGAUUCUUAAGUGGGAUGUGAAAUACCCGGGCUUAACCUGGGUGCUGCAUUCCAAACUGGGAAUCUAGAGUGCAGGAGGGGAGAGUGGAAUUCCUAGUGUAGCGGUGAAAUGCGUAGAGAUUAGGAAGAACACCAGUGGCGAAGGCGACUCUCUGGACUGUAACUGACGCUGAGGCUCGAAAGCGUGGGGAGCAAACA
Molecule: ribosomal RNA, 207 nt
Filed under: uncultured bacterium
Lineage: Bacteria
Description: partial 16S ribosomal RNA
Rfam family: Bacterial small subunit ribosomal RNA
Source: RNAcentral